This 343-nucleotide RNase P RNA is filed under the name Bowdeniella nasicola. RNAcentral's name for it is "RNase P RNA component class A". It matches the Rfam family "Bacterial RNase P class A". Rfam says of the family: Ribonuclease P (RNase P) is a ubiquitous endoribonuclease, found in archaea, bacteria and eukarya as well as chloroplasts and mitochondria. Its best characterised activity is the generation of mature 5'-ends of tRNAs by cleaving the 5'-leader elements of precursor-tRNAs. Lineage: Bacteria; Bacillati; Actinomycetota; Actinomycetes; Actinomycetales; Actinomycetaceae. The record is from RNAcentral.
UGAGCUGGCUGGGCGGCCGCGGCAGAUGUCGAGGAACGUCCGGGCACCACAGGGCAGGACGGUGGGUAACACCCACCCGGGGUGACCCGCGGGAUAGUGCAACAGAAAGUAGACCGCCGCCAAUGUGCGGUAAGGGUGAAACGGUGGUGUAAGAGACCACCAGCACUGCCGGUGACGGUGGUGGCUUGGUAAACCCCGUCCGGUGCAAGACCAGACAGCAGGCGUAGGCGGCCCGUUUAGCCUGCGGGUAGGUUGCUAGAGCUGCGCAGUAAUGCGCCGCCAAGAGAGAUGGUCGCCGCCACUUUUCGUGGAACAGAACCCGGCGUAUAGGUCAGCUCAUCCA